Long non-coding RNA from Megalobrama amblycephala (Wuchang bream), 3449 nucleotides. RefSeq lists it as uncharacterized. Lineage: Eukaryota; Metazoa; Chordata; Actinopteri; Cypriniformes; Xenocyprididae. The record is from RefSeq and is a predicted model, not a curated record. The transcript is spliced from 2 exons.
GGGAAACUGGGUGGGUUAUGAUUGAUCCCUCUUAUUCUCAACACCCAGUCACAUGACUAUUAAAAUGUAAACGUUUAUUUACUUUAAAUAAAUAAUAAGUGACAACUGAUUUUCAAAUAAGUAAAUACUAAUUUAUUUUACAUGAUUAAAGGGAGAUCAAUAAUUUGUCAUUUUAUGACAUGACAGUGAUUAAAACUAAAGGUUAAAGUUUAUAUUAUUUUGCUAAAUAAUAUUAUCAGAGGUUUUAUGCAGCUAUCCUUUUAUUACUUUAUCCUUCCUGUGUUUAUGUGACCGCUUUUUAUUGGUCAUUUGAGUAUUCACGCUGUAUUGUCAGUAGUGUUUGGCUGCAUGCACGUAAAAAAAAAAACGGGGUACACGUGACUGGAUAGAGCGACGCGGAUGAGAAAGUGCUGGAAGCCGUUUUUUUUUCCUCGCUCGUCGUUUUUUUUUUGGCUCGCUCUCUCUCGCUGGACCCGUGGGGAGAACGGGAUGCUCGCACGUUUAGAGAGAAGGAAAAAGACGCUAAAAAGAGCCAUUAACGUCGACGAAACUGAGAGGGAGGUUCAGAGAAGGGGACCGCGGAUGUUUGUGACUGUGAGAAACGAGAGACUGAGCGAGACACGAGGCCGGCGAUCCGUCUGACGGAGCGGACGACGCGAUCGGAGGUAGCCGAGCUAGCUAGCCACGGCGGGCGCACGCGAGGCGGAGCUGUUGGUUCAUCGCACUGCACCUGAGUAUCCGGACCAGUCUUUUCGACGCUCUCAAUGUUUUGUAAGUGUCAGUUCAGCGCACUCAAUGUUUUGCGAGACCAAAACAGGCCUGCAACGUUGUUUUUUUUUCUUCGUUCGAAUCGGUACCGUGAGUAAACUGGAACAUGUGAGCAUGUAUGUGUGACUGGGCCCAACACUGCAUUAGUUAACACUUGUUACAGGACACUUGACACGUUUUUUGUAAAGUUCUCUGUGCAUUCUCAAUCUUUAGAAAAGAUAUAAGGGAGGAAGAUUUUUACACCCCUUAUUUUGGUAUAAAACGUGUGAUUUAAAGGGAUUAAGGUUAUUAUUUAAUUGUUUGGGAUAUCUUUUGGUUAUUUAUUUUUGUACAUUUUGUCAUAAUUAGGGACUUUUAUAUUGUGUUUUAGGGGAAGUUUUAUAUUUCAUUUGCCAAAUCCUUUUGAUUCAUUAAACAAGGGUUUUACCCAUUUUAUUUUCUAAACUAAAAACCAUCUCUGGGUCUCAUUAUUGUUAAAUAUUCCUGUCAAAAGGUUUUACAAUUGAGUAGAAACUCAUUAGGUGCACCUUCGUGGUAUCCACCUGAACUACAACGAACCCAAGCACCCCCAUUCUCUCGUAUGUAACAUACAGAGUGGUUGUAUGGGUGCUACAUAUUCUUCGAUUGAAUUUGCCCUGAUCAGAGCAUUUAUGCCAAUUAAAGUUAUACAAUGAAUAUGUCUUGUUCUUUUUUUCUUUAGACUAGAGAUUUUAUAAUAUUUAUUGCAUAUAUUAAUUAUAUUUGUGUUAUUAUUUUAUUGAUGUUACAUCUGACAGAAACAACAGCAGUAAUAAUGUAUGUUUCUGUUGGGCCAUCAUCAGAAACACUUGCUUUUCUCACCUGUUCAGUGAGUUGAAAUAAAUUUUAAGUUUUAAAAUUAGCAUGAAGAUUGUCUGAUCUGGAUUCUGCAACAGACCUGUAACAGUGCCUGUCUUGUUAUUGAAUAAACUAAACUAAUAAUCUUGAAUAUUAAUAAUAAGCAUAAGCGCACUAGCUGGCCUGACAGCUGCUAAAAAGAUAAUUGCAUUGAGAUGAAAACCUCUUCAUUCACUUUCUGUUAAACGAUUCUUACAUUUUUUUUUUAUUUGAUUUUUCUCCUGCUCGAGUUCUUUUGACUGUUUUCUUGUGAUUUUGAAAUGCUUUGUAAUGUUCUUUUCUUUUCUUUUCUUUUCUUUUCUUCUUUUAAAAAUGAACCACAAAACAUUAAUCCUAUACAAUACCUCUGAUCUGCUGGACUCGCCUUUGGAGAAGAGCUUUUGUUGAUUUUGUACUCAGAAAAUGUAAGUAUUACUACUAAAGAUAAGAUUACCCCAGAAUGAACUGCAUUGCUUGCACACACCAACACUUACACACAAUAAUAAUGAUAAAUGCUGACCAAUACUUAAUUAUAUUACUUUUUUUCAAUGAAAAUUGUUUUUGCAGUCAAGCAAUGAAUUAAUGCAUGAUUAAUAAAAUAAUUAUAUUUUAUUUACUGACAACAAUAGGAAACAUAAAUGAGUAAAAGAAUGAAUAUAAGUAACCAUCACAAUACAUAAAUAAAUACACAAUUCAACAACACAUGAAACUAAGCUUUUUUUUUUUUUAACUUAUUGUUAUCUCAACAUAGCUGUGCCAAUUCUGCAGCUUUAUUUUGAUGAUGCAGCUGACCACCGUGAACACCUUCGCCUGUCUUUGCCAUUUUAAGAAGAUGUGCGGGACAAUCUGGCUGGCGCUGUGUCUGCUCCAGUCAUUUGUGUGCUCUCCAUGAGCAUUACUACCUUUAAAACAUUUAAACAGAUUAAAACGUUUUACAAUUCAUGUCAGCAUUCUGUUUCUUGCCAUAUUUCAUUUAAUAUUUGUACAAUUAAAUGCUAAUUUCUGUUAUAGCAUUAUUACUUUAGUGGUGUGGUUGCCUAAACCACUGAACUGGUAAGCAGAAGGUUGCUGGUUCGAUCUCCGUAUCCGUCACCGUCCUUGAGCAAGACUCCAGGUUACUCCACAUUGAUCGUCACUGUAAUAAGAGCACUGUCCUGAGCUCUGCAGAAAACAUACAGACAUCAAGAAUAAGAAAAGUGCUGUAAUAAUUUACAAUAAUUAAAAUAAACUACAACUUAAGUUUUAAAUUGAUUGAUUUUUAUUCAUUUCUGUAGUAUCCUCACUCAAAGCCAUUGAUGGCAGCAUUCCUUCAUCAGCCUCUCUCCACCGGAUAAACACACAUGUGACCAUUUGUCUCUGUAACAUCCAGACAAGACUCAAGCUUCCUCUGAGAUUUAUGUGCUCAAUUUACAUGUUGAGGUUGAUGAUGUGUUAACUCACUUUUUAUCCAACACAAAUGUUCCUUAAUUUAUCAACAGUACUAACAGACAAAUAAAAUAGAUAACUUAUGUCUAGUUACUUGUACAUUUGUUUUUGUUUUUUUACAUUACUUGCAUUCAUGUAAUGUAAGCAGUGUUGACAACAGUGAAUUCUACAUAAUAGUACACACACAUCACUCAGAUGUAUAUUUCAUGUUGUGAUGUGCUUAUCAUCUGCAAUAUUUAUUGAAUAUUUCCCUGUCAGGUGUUAAAUAAACAUUUAGAAAGUGACUUUAUGAUGUAUAUGGUUUAGAUUUCAUGUAAAUCCACUUUGGAGACGAACGUGUGCUUUCUGAUGCUCCCCUGUUAACUGUACAUAAUAAAACGUGUUUGUAAGUUUUAAAAAUA